RNAcentral lists this long non-coding RNA (784 nucleotides) under Gallus gallus (chicken). The record is from RNAcentral. Lineage: Eukaryota; Metazoa; Chordata; Aves; Galliformes; Phasianidae.
GUAAAAGUCUGCACCAGCAGAGGUGAACCAAUUUUACAGUUGCUGAGAUGGCAUUGUUGCUAGGAAGAUGUUACCCACGCAUACCAUUUUUCAUCAGCUUGAAUGGAUGGAAAACAGAAGGUGGCAAAUCCAGACUAUAUGGCAGGUAUGGUAAGACAGUCCAGCCAAGAUUGGCAGUGUUCUCCAUGGUCUUCAAGUUAAUAUGGAGCCUGGCAUUAUACUGUCACCUUCAGUAUCAUUUUGGAUCAAUAGAUCCUGACAAACUUAACAUACGGUGUUCAUUUUGUUCCUGUGUGAGCAUUCGUGGGACCGACUUGGUGCAAACUUUGUGAUAUUCCAACCUUUCCACCAUUGUUUCCAAUGCAUUUCAGCUGAUAUUCAGCUCUGUAUGCAGUUCCCUCAUUGUAAUCUGCUGAUUUACCCUGAUGAGCUGGUUGAGAUGCUCUUUUUUUUUGGUGUGACAGUUGUGUACAGCCUUUGGAACGUGGCUUUUCUUUCACAUUACUGUUGCCACUGCUGAAACACACCACCCACCACCUCCCUGUGCUCACAUUCCCUUUUUGUUCCCCAUAAAGGUUCAGCAAGUGUCAGUGAAUAUCUAUGGGUGAAAUUUUUUCCACAUGGAGGAGUUCAGUGACACACCUUUGUUUCAUAUGCACUUUCAUGUCAGAUGGCAACAAAAUGUAAUGGAAUAUUGGUAGGAAGGUUCAGCCUCUACUGCAGUACCACCAACGUCUGCCUCUGAUGUUGUGGGCCAAAAUAAUAAAUUAGGAGGCAUUACUUU